AAAGUUUAAGAAGUGCAAAAUGUCUUUACAACAUGAUAAGUAUACAUCUGAUGCUGCUUUUUGUUGAAUUGCUUUGGCACCCAACAGAUGCUAGAAAGACAACUCAAAUUCUUGGGUUUGGGUACCUGAUGGAUUUUCUGUAGAUAAAACAUGGGCUCAUGCGAUGCUCACAGCCAUGAUGCUGAAGUUCAUGGCUGUCUGAACAAAUGUUUUCCGUUCCAGUCUCAGCUCUUGGGAUAUCUGAGUGACCAGUUAUCAACCUGAAAUCAGCUGGGAAGGAAUCUUGGUGCAGGAUCAUUUGGAGGAUCAGAGUGACCCAUCCUGAAAGUGAGCAGCACCAUUUCAUGGCCUGGGCCCAGGACAAACUGAGCUGAGCACGGGAUUUGUCACUUUCUGUUUUCUAACAGCAGAUGUAAUGUGUCCUGAUCCUUCAGACUCCUGCCCUCUACAGGAGUGCAGCAUAGCAGUUCUCUCUGAGAGGCUCUACCCAGCAACUCACUGAGACAGAUACAAAUAUCCACAAGCAUUGGACAGAGGUCGAAGACAGCUAUGGAAUACUUAGUGGAAGGACUGAAUGCCCUCAAACAGAUGGCAACCCCACAGGAUGACCAACAGUAUCAACUA
Molecule: long non-coding RNA, 624 nt
Organism: Mus musculus (house mouse)
Lineage: Eukaryota; Metazoa; Chordata; Mammalia; Rodentia; Muridae
Product: predicted gene, 39639
Exons: 3
Source: RefSeq, a predicted model, not a curated record